RNAcentral lists this small RNA (690 nucleotides) under Pan troglodytes (chimpanzee). RNAcentral's name for it is "retained intron". The record is from RNAcentral. Lineage: Eukaryota; Metazoa; Chordata; Mammalia; Primates; Hominidae.
GCACGGCCGCUGCCCGGUCCCGCCGCAGGCCCCCUCAUGGUGAUCGUGGAGUACUGCAAGUACGGCAACCUCUCCAACUUCCUGCGCGCCAAGCGGGACACCUUCAGCCCCUAUGCAGUGAGUGCGCGGCCUGCGGGGCGCGGCGGGCGGCCGGGGAAUGGAGGCGCCUCUGCGGCGGACGACCGGGCGCCCUCGAGCCAGCUUCGUGCAUCCGCAGGAGAAGUCUCCCGAGCAGCGCGGACGCUUCCGCGCCAUGGUGGAGCUCGCCAGGCUGGAUCGGAGGAGGCCAGGGAGCAGCGACAGGGUCCUCUUCGCACGGUUCUCAAAGAACGAGGGCGGAGCGAGGCGGGCUUCUCCAGACCAGGAAGCUGAGGACCUGUGGCUGAGCCCGCUGACCAUGGAAGAUCUUGUCUGCUACAGCUUCCAGGUGGCCAGAGGGAUGGAGUUCCUGGCUUCCCGAAAGUGCAUCCACAGAGACCUGGCUGCUCGGAACAUUCUGCUGUCGGAAAGCGACGUGGUGAAGAUCUGUGACUUUGGCCUUGCCCGGGACAUCUACAAAGACCCUGACUACGUCCGCAAGGGCAGUGCCCGGCUGCCCCUGAAGUGGAUGGCCCCUGAAAGCAUCUUCGACAAGGUGUACACCACGCAGAGUGACGUGUGGUCCUUUGGGGUGCUUCUCUGGGAGAUCUU